Molecule: ribosomal RNA, 229 nt
Filed under: uncultured bacterium
Lineage: Bacteria
Description: partial 16S ribosomal RNA
Rfam family: Bacterial small subunit ribosomal RNA
Source: RNAcentral
UCCGUAGGUGGAUAAUUAAGUCAGAGGUGAAAUCCUGCAGCUCAACCGAGAAACUGCCAUUGAUACUGUUAAUCUUGAGUUCGGUUGAGGUAGGCGGAAUGUGUAAUGUAGCGGUGAAAUGCUUAGAUAUUACACAGAACACCAAUUGCGUAGGCAGCUUACUAGACCGACACUGACGCUGAGGCACGAAAGCGUGGGGAGCGAACAGGAUUAGAUACCCUGGUAGUCC